RNAcentral lists this ribosomal RNA (122 nucleotides) under Vibrio sp. JPW-9-11-11. Its description in RNAcentral is "partial 23S ribosomal RNA". The stretch from base 1 to 102 matches the Rfam family "Bacterial large subunit ribosomal RNA", at positions 2824 to 2925 of the family's 2925-position model. The record is from RNAcentral. Lineage: Bacteria; Pseudomonadati; Pseudomonadota; Gammaproteobacteria; Vibrionales; Vibrionaceae.
GUCCUAAAGGGUUGUUCGAGACUAGAACGUUGAUAGGCAGGGUGUGUAAGCGUUGUGAGGCGUUGAGCUAACCUGUACUAAUUGCCCGUGAGGCUUAACCAUACAACACCCAAAGGGUUUUG